RNAcentral lists this transfer RNA (803 nucleotides) under Bradyrhizobium japonicum. RNAcentral's name for it is "16S-23S ribosomal RNA intergenic spacer". The stretch from base 193 to 266 matches the Rfam family "tRNA". The record is from RNAcentral. Lineage: Bacteria; Pseudomonadati; Pseudomonadota; Alphaproteobacteria; Hyphomicrobiales; Nitrobacteraceae.
CUAAGGAUGAUCCUUCAGCGAGCUUCGGCUCACUAUCGGAUCGUUUUAAGAAACAUCAGUGGCCAACGGUCGUCAGGAUCGUUGAGCUGCAUUGGCGGGAUUUCGCCGUCUUCGUUUCUCUUUCUUCGCGGACGAACACGCGCUGGGCCUGCAUGGUUGCAGGAUCCCGGUCCUUAACUGGAUAUGCGUUAGGGGCUUGUAGCUCAGUUGGUUAGAGCGCGCGCUUGAUAAGCGUGAGGUCGGAAGUUCAAGUCUUCCCAGGCCCACCACACUCAUCGAGUGAGCAUUCGUCUUCUGGUUACGGGGCCAUAGCUCAGCUGGGAGAGCGCGUGCUUUGCAAGCAUGAGGUCGUCGGUUCGAUCCCGUCUGGCUCCACCAGAUGGUUUGAUCAUCGACUGAUCGUGCACCUAAAUCGUCCGCGAAACAUCACUUCGCACCCACUAGUCCGGAUGGACAGUGACGUGCGUGAUUUCUGACAUCGUAAAGAGGAGAUCGAUCCGAGUUGGAUCGUGCAGCAAGCAAUUGCUACGCGGUACUCCAUUAUCUCCGGAUCAUUUCGGCGCUCGUGCGUCUUCCAAGGUAGCUCACAAGGCUGCAUUGAAAGACAAGCGAGUUGUAAAUGAUCCUUUUAGCGAAGCUUGACCGCCUCGCUAUCGGAACGAUCUUACGAAGCAAGCUGGUCUUUCUAAUCAUUGUCCGGCUGCAGAUAGCGUUCAUCGAGGGCGCGUACCUUAGAGACUUAGGUUUCUUGGUAAUUCUGCAGACAACAUUCUGCCGAGUGUGUGGACAUUGAUAAUGAGAGC